RNAcentral lists this unclassified non-coding RNA (344 nucleotides) under uncultured fungus. RNAcentral describes it as "partial contains small subunit ribosomal RNA, internal transcribed spacer 1, and 5.8S ribosomal RNA". The stretch from base 1 to 73 matches the Rfam family "Eukaryotic small subunit ribosomal RNA", at positions 1759 to 1831 of the family's 1831-position model. Lineage: Eukaryota; Fungi. The record is from RNAcentral.
UCAAACUUGGUCAUUUAGAGGAAGUAAAAGUCGUAACAAGGUUUCCGUAGGUGAACCUGCGGAAGGAUCAUUAUUGAAUAAACUUGGUGGGUUGUAGCUGGCUCCUUGGGGCAUGUGCACGCUCAUCAUCUUUAUCUAUCCACCUGUGCACAAUCUGUAGUCUUGAGGGAGAUGAUAGCGGGCUGAUUCACAUGGAUCAGUUUGUGACUUUCUCUUGGGUCUAUGUAUUUUCAUACACUCUAUAGUAUGUUGCAGAAUGUAAUUAUUGGGCUUCUUUGCCUAUAAAACUCUAUACAACUUUCAGCAACGGAUCUCUUGGCUCUCGCAUCGAUGAAGAACGCAGC